UGCAGGGCGCAGACUACACAUGCAAGUCGAGCGAGAUCUUCGGAUCUAGCGGCGGACGGGUGAGUAACGCGUGGGAACGUACCCUCUUCUGCGGGAUAGCCACUGGAAACGGUGAGUAAUACCGCAUACGCCCUUCGGGGGAAAGAUUUAUCGGAGGAGGAUCGGCCCGCGUUGGAUUAGGUAGUUGGUGGGGUAAUGGCCUACCAAGCCUACGAUCCAUAGCUGGUUUUAGAGGAUGAUCAGCCACACUGGGACUGAGACACGGCCCAGACUCCUACGGGAGGCAGCAGUGGGGAAUCUUAGACAAUGGGCGCAAGCCUGAUCUAGCCAUGCCGCGUGAGUGACGAAGGCCUUAGGGUCGUAAAGCUCUUUCGCCUGUGAUGAUAAUGACAGUAGCAGGUAAAGAAACCCCGGCUAACUCCGUGCCAGCAGCCGCGGUAAUACGGAGGGGGUUAGCGUUGUUCGGAAUUACUGGGCGUAAAGCGCACGUAGGCGGAUUGGAAAGUAUGGGGUGAAAUCCCAGGGCUCAACCCUGGAACGGCCUCAUAAACUUCCAGUCUGGAGUUCGAGAGAGGUGAGUGGAAUUCCGAGUGUAGAGGUGAAAUUCGUAGAUAUUCGGAGGAACACCAGUGGCGAAGGCGGCUCACUGGCUCGAUACUGACGCUGAGGUGCGAAAGUGUGGGGAGCAAACAGGAUUAGAUACCCUGGUA
This 710-nucleotide ribosomal RNA is filed under the name Roseovarius sp. RNAcentral describes it as "bacterial SSU rRNA". It matches the Rfam family "Bacterial small subunit ribosomal RNA", at positions 34 to 792 of the family's 1533-position model. The record is from RNAcentral. Lineage: Bacteria; Pseudomonadati; Pseudomonadota; Alphaproteobacteria; Rhodobacterales; Roseobacteraceae.